This is a long non-coding RNA of Mesocricetus auratus (golden hamster), 1063 nucleotides long. RefSeq lists it as uncharacterized. The transcript has 5 exons. Lineage: Eukaryota; Metazoa; Chordata; Mammalia; Rodentia; Cricetidae. The record is from RefSeq and is a predicted model, not a curated record.
UAAGAUGCGGUCACUGGCUACAGAUCAGCCUAGAAGCAUCUGUCCACACAGAUGUGGAUGUUCAAGAGCUGCACUACCGUGACGAAACAACUGACAACCAGAGAGCAAGGCUGCUGAGUCAUUUAUUAUUGAGCUGGGAAGUCACCAUUUGGAAAGACAAGGAAACUUCGCUGAAGAUGAACAAGGUUAAACAGAAGAGAGGUGUGAAAUAGUUGACAGCUCCCACUAAGUUAAAACUAUCUGACCCAACUUGAGAUGGAAAAACAGAAACCAAUGGCUAAUUCACUUGAGAAAUCACCCUCUAAGGCUGCAAACUGCUCUGUUGAAAAGCACAAGAGACACUAUGAAGAGCCAAUGGUGGUGCUGGAUCCCAGAAGUCACAGAUCGCUGACAUCAAAUGAGAAAAACCCUACUGCUCACAAUGCCUCUUCGCCUGUCAAGACCGGAGCUGUAGGACCAGCUGCAGGGCAGAUAAAUGUGUUACCAGAAAUUCUCAUGGAAAGGCAUCCUGGCCAGUUAAAUGUCACACUAGCCUGUGUACACUAGCAAUCUGGAACAUUUUUCUGAUUGUUGGCUAUUUCCUCUACUAGGUAAACUAAGCAAACUGUGGCUAACACGCCAGGGCAUGCUGGCUUGCCAUGUAUGAGCGACUAAUAUUAACAACUGUCUUAAUACCCUAAGGGUGUUUUAUUGUUGUUGUUUUUGUUUUUUUUUAAGAUACACCUCCUCCAGCUCUCACCUCCCUCCAGUAGAAAUCACACCCAACUCAAAACCAGCUAUGGUUUCACUCCUCCUACAAACAGCAGUUCACUUGGGGAGGCAGCUGGUACAGUACAACCCUCUGGACUCCUCUGCCAUUUUUCUCAGCUGGGUGAACUCACUGUAGAGAUGAAAAAGGCCCCUGUGAUGGUGUGCCUGCCACGAGGUAUCAAGAGGGAAUGGAGAGCCAUCAAAUCCCACCUCUCCCUGCAGAGAAACUCCAGUACCACAGUCCAUUGUCUCAACCCACCAAAUGCCUCAUCUUUCCCUUCCUUUUCUCCUUAACACAGCAUUUGUUGCUAGA